AUCCGGCUGACGAGUCCUAAAUAAGACGAAACUCAUAUCCUGGAU
Schistosoma curassoni is the source of this 45-nucleotide non-coding RNA. The record is from Rfam. Lineage: Eukaryota; Metazoa; Platyhelminthes; Trematoda; Strigeidida; Schistosomatidae.